Molecule: ribosomal RNA, 500 nt
Filed under: uncultured bacterium
Lineage: Bacteria
Description: bacterial SSU rRNA
Rfam family: Bacterial small subunit ribosomal RNA
Source: RNAcentral
AGAGUUUGAUCCUGGCUCAGGACGAACGCUGGCGGCGCGCCUAACACAUGCAAGUCGAACGGAGCUUAGAGAGCUUGCUUUUUAAGCUUAGUGGCGAACGGGUGAGUAACGCGUGAGUAACCCGCCCUAGAGUGGGGGACAACAGUUGGAAACGACUGCUAAUACCGCAUAAGCCCACGGUACCGCAUGGCACUGAGGGAAAAGGAUUUAUUCGCUUUAGGAUGGACUCGCGUCCAAUUAGCUAGUUGGUGAGGUAACGGCCCACCAAGGCGACAAUUGGUAGCCGGACUGAGAGGUUGAACGGCCACAUUGGGACUGAGACACGGCCCAGACUCCUACGGGAGGCAGCAGUGGGGGAUAUUGCACAAUGGGGGAAACCCUGAUGCAGCGACGCCGCGUGGAGGAAGAAGGUUUUCGGAUUGUAAACUCCUGUCGUUAGGGACGAUAAUGACGGUACCUAACAAGAAAGCACCGGCUAACUACGUGCCAGCAGCCGCGGU